RNAcentral lists this long non-coding RNA (325 nucleotides) under Brachypodium distachyon (stiff brome). Its description in RNAcentral is "long non-coding RNA (BDIS_LNC005252)". Lineage: Eukaryota; Viridiplantae; Streptophyta; Magnoliopsida; Poales; Poaceae. The record is from RNAcentral.
GAUAAUAGUCCUAAUGAUACUAGUUUGGUGUUGUAUAUAUUGUUUUUUUCCUACAAACUUGGUCAAAGUUGACAAAGUUUGACUUAGGACAAACCCAAAUGUAUAGACAUUUUUAAACAGAGGGAGAAAGCUAUAUGCGAGGAGCUCCACAGAAAGGAUUCAGCUCAUUACCCUUCACUAUUUCUGAAAAUAGGUUGUUCAUUUGUUACACCCGUUGUACUUUAAGAAAGGAAAGAUGCAGACAUUUUACUUUCAAGAUUGUGAACACUAUAGCAAUAGCAUGGAUCAAAGCAAUGAUAAAGCUCAUGAAAACAGGGAAGCAGGC